GUGUGGUUUAAUUCGACGCAACGCGAAGAACCUUACCAGGGCUUGACAUCCCCUGACCGUCUAUGAAAGUUAGGCUUUCUACCUUCGGGUAGACAGGGAGACAGGUGGUGCAUGGUUGUCGUCAGCUCGUGUCGUGAGAUGUUGGGUUAAGUCCCGCAACGAGCGCAACCCUUACGGUUAGUUGCCAGCGGGUUAUGCCGGGCACUCUAGCUGAACUGCCGUUGACAAAACGGAGGAAGGUGGGAUGACGUCAAAUCAUCAUGCCCUUUAUGUCCUGGGCUACACACGUGCUACAAUGGCCUGUACAGAGGGAAGCGAAAGGGUGACCUGGAGCGAAUCCCAAAAAGCAGGUCUCAGUUCGGAUUGCAGGCUGCAACCCGCCUGCAUGAAGUCGGAAUCGCUAGUAAUCGCAGGUCAGCAUACUGUGGUGAAUACGUUCCCGGGCCUU
Molecule: ribosomal RNA, 448 nt
Filed under: uncultured Desulfotomaculum sp.
Lineage: Bacteria; Bacillati; Bacillota; Clostridia; Eubacteriales; Desulfotomaculaceae
Description: bacterial SSU rRNA
Rfam family: Bacterial small subunit ribosomal RNA
Source: RNAcentral